CCUACGUGAGGCUGCAGUGAGGAAUAUUGGUCAAUGGGCUUACGCCUGAACCAGCCAAGUCGCGUGAGGGAAGACUGCCCUAUGGGUUGUAAACCUCUUUUGUCAGGGAGCAACGCCGGCUACGUGUAGCCGGACUGAGAGUACCUGAAGAAAAAGCAUCGGCUAACUCCGUGCCAGCAGCCGCGGUAAUACGGAGGAUGCGAGCGUUAUCCGGAUUUAUUGGGUUUAAAGGGUGCGUAGGCGGAAUGCCAAGUCAGCGGUAAAAUCGCGGGGCUCAACCUCGCUCCGCCGUUGAAACUGGCGUUCUUGAGUGGGCGAGAAGUAUGCGGAAUGCGUGGUGUAGCGGUGAAAGGCAUAGAGAUCACGCAGAACUCCGAUUGCGAAGGCAGCAUACCGGCGCCCAACUGACGCUGAAGCACGAAAGCGUGGGUAUCGAACAGGAUUAGAUACCCCAGUAGUC
Molecule: ribosomal RNA, 460 nt
Filed under: uncultured bacterium
Lineage: Bacteria
Description: partial 16S ribosomal RNA
Rfam family: Bacterial small subunit ribosomal RNA
Source: RNAcentral